AACAACUGGAAUCUGCUGCAGAUCCACAGACUCUACCUGGGUGUCCAUCACAUAAGCUAGAUAGCCUUGACACCCCUUUCUCAGCAGCCUCUUUGCUUUUACUGCAGACACCAAAUUCAUUGGGAUCUCACUCCUGUCCCCUUGAUAUGUAAAUUUCCCCUUAUCUAAAGGUCUGAAGAUAACACUCUUUUCUUGGCAGUUAAUGGUGGCACGAUUGUCU
Molecule: long non-coding RNA, 220 nt
Filed under: Phoenix dactylifera (date palm)
Lineage: Eukaryota; Viridiplantae; Streptophyta; Magnoliopsida; Arecales; Arecaceae
Description: long non-coding RNA (PDAC_LNC010589)
Source: RNAcentral